Molecule: transfer RNA, 73 nt
Filed under: Coemansia erecta
Lineage: Eukaryota; Fungi; Kickxellomycota; Kickxellomycetes; Kickxellales; Kickxellaceae
Also listed under: 1 other name
Description: tRNA-Phe
Rfam family: tRNA
About the family: Transfer RNA (tRNA) molecules are approximately 80 nucleotides in length. Their secondary structure includes four short double-helical elements and three loops (D, anti-codon, and T loops). Further hydrogen bonds mediate the characteristic L-shaped molecular structure. tRNAs have two regions of fundamental functional importance: the anti-codon, which is responsible for specific mRNA codon recognition, and the 3' end, to which the tRNAs corresponding amino acid is attached (by aminoacyl-tRNA synthetases). tRNAs cope with the degeneracy of the genetic code in two manners: having more than one tRNA (with a specific anti-codon) for a particular amino acid; and 'wobble' base-pairing, i.e. permitting non-standard base-pairing at the 3rd anti-codon position.
Source: RNAcentral
GGGGCUUUAGCUCAGCUGGGAGAGCGUGCGACUGAAGAUCGUACGGUCCCGUGUUCGAACCACGGAAGCCCCA